This 442-nucleotide ribosomal RNA is filed under the name uncultured bacterium. Its description in RNAcentral is "partial 16S ribosomal RNA". It matches the Rfam family "Bacterial small subunit ribosomal RNA", at positions 338 to 795 of the family's 1533-position model. The record is from RNAcentral.
CCUACGGGAGGCAGCAGUAGGGAAUCUUUCACAAUGGGCGAAAGCCUGAUGGAGCAACGCCGCGUGCAGGAUGAAGGCCUUCGGGUUGUAAACUGCUUUUAUAAGCGAGAAAUAUGAUGGUAACUUAUGAAUAAGGAUCGGCUAUCUACGUGCCAGCAGCCGCGGUCAUACGUAGGAGACGAGCAUUAUCCGGAGUGACUGGGUGUAAAGAGUUGCGUAGGUGGCAUAAUAAGUAGCUGGUGAAAUCGGGUGGCUCAACCAUUCAGACUAUUAGCUAAACUGUUAAGCUCGAGACCGUUAGGGGUAACUGGAAUUUCUAGUGUAGGAGUGAAAUCCGUAGAUAUUAGAAGGAACACCAAUAGCGUAGGCAGGUUACUGGGACGGUUCUGACACUAAGGCACGAAAGCGUAGGGAGCAAACGGGAUUAGAUACCCGAGUAGUC